GACCGAUCAUGGUCUGUGGAUGUGCCUAGAGAAUUGAGGGACCUUCCUCUGUUUGACUCCAUGGGAUGUAUUUACUCCCAAGUAAUCUAAGUUAACCACUCUCUCUCUCUCUCUCUCUCUCUUCAUAUCCAACACCAACACCCUCAUCACGAAUGGUGGAGCUAGGAUUCGGCUUGAGGAACGAAAUUUUAGUUUUGUUCAUAAAAGAGAUAUAACUUUUUGAUCCACUGUAAAAUUCAUAAAGAGAAUUUCUCUUAGCCGUUUAUUAUAUAGGAACAAUGUAUAUCGAAAUGUAAUUCACUCUC
RNAcentral lists this long non-coding RNA (305 nucleotides) under Phoenix dactylifera (date palm). RNAcentral's name for it is "long non-coding RNA (PDAC_LNC001249)". The record is from RNAcentral. Lineage: Eukaryota; Viridiplantae; Streptophyta; Magnoliopsida; Arecales; Arecaceae.